This 330-nucleotide unclassified non-coding RNA is filed under the name soil metagenome. Its description in RNAcentral is "partial contains 5.8S ribosomal RNA, internal transcribed spacer 2, and large subunit ribosomal RNA". The stretch from base 1 to 120 matches the Rfam family "5.8S ribosomal RNA", at positions 35 to 154 of the family's 154-position model. The record is from RNAcentral.
GAUGAAGAACGUAGCGAAAUGCGAUACGUAAUGUGAAUUGCAGAAUUCAGUGAAUCAUCGAGUCUUUGAACGCACAUUGCGCCCCCUGGUAUUCCGGGGGGCAUGCCUGUCCGAGCGUCAUUGCUGCCCUCAAGCACGGCUUGUGUGUUGGGCGACGUCCUCUUUGGGGACGCGCCUCGAAACGCUCGGCGGCGUGGCACCGGCUUUAAGCGUAGCAGAAUCUUUCGCUUUGGAAGUCGGGGCCCCGUCUGCCGGAAGACCUGCUCGCAAGGUUGACCUCGGAUCAGGCAGGGAUACCCGCUGAACUUAAGCAUAUCAAUAAGCGGAGGA